This 371-nucleotide ribosomal RNA is filed under the name uncultured bacterium. Its description in RNAcentral is "bacterial SSU rRNA". It matches the Rfam family "Bacterial small subunit ribosomal RNA", at positions 527 to 896 of the family's 1533-position model. The record is from RNAcentral.
AGAGGUCCCGAGCGUUGUUCGGAUUCACUGGGCGUAAAGGGUGCGUAGGUGGCUUUGCAAGUCUGAUGUGAAAUCUCCGGGCUUAACCCGGAAAUGGCAUUAGAAACUGUGAGGCUUGAGGCUUGGAGGGGGAACUGGAAUUCUCGGUGUAGCAGUGAAAUGCGUAGAGAUCGAGAGGAACACCAGUGGCGAAGGCGAGUUCCUGGACAAGUCCUGACACUGAGGCACGAAAGCCGGGGGAGCAAACAGGAUUAGAUACCCUGGUAGUCCCGGCUGUAAACGGUGCACGUUUGCUGUAAGCGGAAUCGACCCCGUUUGUGGCGAAGCUAACGCGUUAAACGUGCCGCCUGGGGAGUACGGUCGCAAGAUUA